RNAcentral lists this unclassified non-coding RNA (315 nucleotides) under plant metagenome. RNAcentral's name for it is "partial contains 5.8S ribosomal RNA, internal transcribed spacer 2, and large subunit ribosomal RNA". The stretch from base 1 to 107 matches the Rfam family "5.8S ribosomal RNA", at positions 48 to 154 of the family's 154-position model. The record is from RNAcentral.
GCGAACUGCGAUAAGUAAUGUGAAUUGCAGAAUUCAGUGAAUCAUCGAGUCUUUGAACGCACAUUGCGCCCCCUGGCAUUCCGGGGGGCAUGCCUGUCCGAGCGUCAUUGCUGCCCUUCAAGCCCGGCUUGUGUGUUGGGUCGUCGUCCCCUCCGGGGGACGGGCCCGAAAGGCAGCGGCGGCACCGCGUCCGGUCCUCGAGCGUAUGGGGCUUUGUCACCCGCUCGAUAAGGACCGGCCGGGCGCCAGCCGGCGUCUCCAACCUUUUUUUCUCAGGUUGACCUCGGAUCAGGUAGGGAUACCCGCUGAACUUAA